GAUGAACGCUGGCGGCGUGCCUAAUACAUGCAAGUCGAACGCUGGAAAUCUAGCUUGCUAGAUUGAAGGAGUGGCGAACGGGUGAGUAAUACAUAAGCAACCUACCCACGAAGACUGGGAUAAUCUCUGGAAACGGGGACUAAUACCGGAUAGGUAAUCGGAAGGCAUCUUCUGAUUAUUAAAGGUUAAAAACACUGGUGGAUGGGCUUAUGGCGCAUUAGUUAGUUGGUGAGGUAACGGCCCACCAAGACGAUGAUGCGUAGCCGGCCUGAGAGGGUGAACGGCCACAUUGGGACUGAGACACGGCCCAGACUCCUACGGGAGGCAGCAGUAGGGAAUUUUCGGCAAUGGGGGAAACCCUGACCGAGCAACGCCGCGUGAGUGAUGACGGCCUUCGGGUUGUAAAGCUCUGUUGUAAGGGAAGAACGGUAGAUAGAGAUUAUCUAAAUGACGGUACCUUACCAGAAAGCCACGGCUAACUACGUG
This 486-nucleotide ribosomal RNA is filed under the name uncultured bacterium. RNAcentral describes it as "partial 16S ribosomal RNA". It matches the Rfam family "Bacterial small subunit ribosomal RNA", at positions 28 to 507 of the family's 1533-position model. The record is from RNAcentral.